RNAcentral lists this ribosomal RNA (564 nucleotides) under uncultured bacterium. Its description in RNAcentral is "partial 16S ribosomal RNA". It matches the Rfam family "Bacterial small subunit ribosomal RNA", at positions 355 to 914 of the family's 1533-position model. The record is from RNAcentral.
UGGGGAAUUUUGGACAAUGGGCGAAAGCCUGAUCCAGCAAUGCCGCGUGUGUGAAGAAGGCCUUCGGGUUGUAAAGCACUUUUGUCCGGAAAGAAAUCCUUGGCUCUAAUACAGUCGGGGGAUGACGGUACCGGAAGAAUAAGCACCGGCUAACUACGUGCCAGCAGCCGCGGUAAUACGUAGGGUGCAAGCGUUAAUCGGAAUUACUGGGCGUAAAGCGUGCGCAGGCGGUUUGCUAAGACCGAUGUGAAAUCCCCGGGCUCAACCUGGGAACUGCAUUGGUGACUGGCAGGCUAGAGUAUGGCAGAGGGGGGUAGAAUUCCACGUGUAGCAGUGAAAUGCGUAGAGAUGUGGAGGAAUACCGAUGGCGAAGGCAGCCCCCUGGGCCAAUACUGACGCUCAUGCACGAAAGCGUGGGGAGCAAACAGGAUUAGAUACCCUGGUAGUCCACGCCCUAAACGAUGUCAACUAGUUGUUGGGGAUUCAUUUCCUAGUAACGUAGCUAACGCGUGAAGUUGACCGCCUGGGGAGUACGUCGCAAGAUUAAAACUCAAAGGAAUUGAC